Vicia villosa (hairy vetch) is the source of this 1332-nucleotide long non-coding RNA. RefSeq lists it as uncharacterized. NCBI's taxonomy places the organism in Eukaryota, Viridiplantae, Streptophyta, Magnoliopsida, Fabales, Fabaceae. The transcript is spliced from 6 exons. The record is from RefSeq and is a predicted model, not a curated record.
UCAGCAGCUUUACGUUCUCACUCCCUUACUUCACGUUCUCACACUCUUUAAUCUGAAGAAACCCUAGCCACCACCAUAUCCUCCACCCCUCCAAAUCGGUUUUCACCACCUCUACCGUUUCAACUCCCACCACCACGGUUGCUCUUCAGUCACCACCAUAACUCACCUUCAUUCAUUCAUUGCUCGCUCUCACUUUCUCUCCCUCUCUCUGAUGAAACAAACCUCCUAUUCACCUAUUCUCUUCUUAUGAGACAAAUCUCCGGCUUUCUCGUUCUCAUUCAUUGCUCGUGUUUGAAAGAUCCGUGAGCUGAAGGUGUAAAGGGUCCCUUUGUUUCUGACAAGUACCUAAAACAAGUUUGUUCUUUAGGUCAAGUAAACAUUUACAUCACAUUAUUUUCACCUUUUAACACAAAUUGCUGUUGUUGGAAGUUUGACAUAGAUUCAAGGUUUGUAAGGUUAACAUUUUGAGUUCAAGGGUGGUUUAGAGUUGGAUAAUGGAUCAAGGUCAAAGUAGCAUGAAAAGAGUCUUAGAUCAUGGUUUGAAAUUGAAGCUGAUUAAAUCGGCCUUCUACUAAUGGCAGCAGCUGGCUAUGAUCCUCAGGUGGCACCUAAAGUAUGUGAAAAGAUAGAAACAUUAUAUGAAUGUGACAACGAUUCUAUGCUUAGAUGCUUUUUUGAUACCCAUCCAUCAGUAGGAAAAAGAGCCAAGGCAUUGACUCGGCCUAAAAUAAUGAAUGAAGCUCUUGUUUUAUUUAAUGAUGUAGGAAAGUGUGGGGUUGAAUGAUUUCAUUCUAUUGGACUGCACAUUCACCAUGUCCACAAGCUACAAAUGCAUGUAGUUGAAACCUGUCAUAAAUUUCAAUUCUAGUUUAAUUUCAUCUAUAUUUCCAAUUAACUUUUAUGUUUGUUUCAGUUUCUAUAGAAUUCAGCAUGUUAAAUAAACCAUAUCAUCCUAACAUCAUACCUCAACCUCACUUGUCUCAACAUCAUCCUUGGGACCUAUACGUGUUUGUUAUUGUUGAACCUUGAGAAUAUGUUGGAAUAUACUACACCAAGUGCGACUGGGCUAUUAAUUACUGGACUAACAGCUACCAAGGCGCAAAGUCGAUUCAUUGUAACAGCUUGUGAUGAUUCUGUGGUGAAGAUUUGGAAAAUGAACAAGUUCUAGAACUUCUAGUUAAUUUCUUUUAUUUUAGAUAACAUUUCUCUCUAUAUGUGCAACUUGUUAUCUUGUUGCAAGUCACAAAAGUGAACAAAUUUCAAGCUAGUUUUGUUUUACACUUUUACUUUCGGGUACAAUUGAGUAAUGAAUGAACCAUUUUUGUUGGAAAA